RNAcentral lists this transfer RNA (73 nucleotides) under Acidobacteriota bacterium. RNAcentral's name for it is "tRNA-Lys". It matches the Rfam family "tRNA". From Rfam's summary of the family: Transfer RNA (tRNA) molecules are approximately 80 nucleotides in length. The record is from RNAcentral. Lineage: Bacteria; Pseudomonadati; Acidobacteriota.
GGGCCGUUAGCUCAGUUGGUAGAGCAGAUGACUCUUAAUCAUCGGGUCGGAGGUUCGAGUCCUCCACGGCCCA